RNAcentral lists this ribosomal RNA (460 nucleotides) under uncultured bacterium. RNAcentral's name for it is "partial 16S ribosomal RNA". It matches the Rfam family "Bacterial small subunit ribosomal RNA", at positions 338 to 795 of the family's 1533-position model. The record is from RNAcentral.
CCUACGGGUGGCAGCAGUGAGGAAUAUUGGUCAAUGGGCUUACGCCUGAACCAGCCAAGUCGCGUGAGGGAAGACUGCCCUAUGGGUUGUAAACCUCUUUUGCCGGGGAGCAAGCGUGCGUUCGUGAACGCGCGUCGAGAGUACCCGUAGAAAAAGCAUCGGCUAACUCCGUGCCAGCAGCCGCGGUAAUACGGAGGAUGCGAGCGUUAUCCGGAUUUAUUGGGUUUAAAGGGUGCGUAGGCGGGAUGCCAAGUCAGCGGUAAAAAUGCGGUGCUCAACGCCGUCGAGCCGUUGAAACUGGCGUUCUUGAGUGGGCGAGAGGUAUGCGGAAUGCGUGGUGUAGCGGUGAAAUGCAUAGAUAUCACGCAGAACUCCGAUUGCGAAGGCAGCAUACCGGCGCCCUACUGACGCUGAGGCACGAAAGCGUGGGUAUCGAACAGGAUUAGAUACCCGGGUAGUC